Molecule: long non-coding RNA, 4441 nt
Filed under: Equus caballus (horse)
Lineage: Eukaryota; Metazoa; Chordata; Mammalia; Perissodactyla; Equidae
Description: lncRNA (ENSECAG00000050343.1)
Source: RNAcentral
AUUUACCUUUUCCAAUGAGAUUAUUAUUUUCAUAUGUUUUCUUGUUAUUAACUAGUGUCUUUUAUUUUCAGCUUAAAGUCCCAUCAACAUUUCUUGUAAGGCCAGUUUAGUGAUGAUGAACUCCUUUAGCUUUUGCUUAUUUGGAAAACUCUUAAUCUUUCCUUCAAUUCUGAAUGAUAACCUUGCUGGGUAGAGAAUUCUUGACUGGAUUUCUUUUAUUUCAGUGCUUUCAGUAUGUCAUGCCACUCCCUUCUAGUCUGCUAAAUUUUUGCUGAAAAAUCUGCUAAGAGCCUUAUGGAAUUUCCCAUGUAUAUAAUAAGAUUUUUUUUCUCUUGCUGCUUUUAAGAUUCUCUUUUUAUCCUUAACUUUUACCAUUUUAAUUAUGAUGUCUCUUGGUGUGGUUCUCUUUGAGUUCAUCUUUUUUGGAACUCUCUGGGCUUCCUGGGCCUGGAUAUCUGUUUCCUUCCCAGAUUAGGGAAAUUUUUAGCCAUUAUUUCUUCAAAUAAUUUUUCGGGCCCUUUCUCUUUCUCUUCUCCUUCUGGAACCCCUAUACUGUGAAUGUCAUCCUACUUGAUGUUGUCCCAGAGGUCCCUUAAGGUAUCCUCACUUAAAAAAAUGUUUUUAUUUUUUAUUUUGCUGCUCUGCCUGGGUGAGAGCCAUUGCUUUGUCUUCCAGCUUGUGUAUUUGUGCUUCUACUUCAUCCAUUCUGCUUUUGAACCCUUCUGGUGUAUUUUUCAUUUCAGUUAUAACUUCUGUUUGGUACUUUCUUGUAUUUUCUAUCUUUGUUGAAGUUCUCACUGUGUUCAUCUGUUCUUCUCCUGAGUUCAGUGAGAAUCCUUAUGACUAUUACUUUGAACUCUUUAUCAGAUAGGUUCCUUAUUUCCACUUUAUUGGGGUCUUUUUCUGGGGAUUUGUCUUGUUCUUUGGUUUGGAACAUAAUCCUUUGUAUCCUCUUUUUGCCUGACUCUCUGUGUUUGUCUCUUUAUGUUAGGCAAAAUAGCUACCUCUGCCAGUCUUGAAGGAGUGGUUUUGUGGAGGAGAUGAUCUGUGGGGCUAGAAGUGCAAUCUCUCCUGGCCUCCAGAGCCAGGUGCUCAAGGGGCUUCCGUUAUGUGGGCUAUGUGCACCUGCCAGUUGUGGCAGGCCUUGGCUGCAGCUGGGUGGACAGGGCCAUGGUGUGUUCUCCUGGCUACGUUGUGGUACAGCUGCUGCAUGGGAUGUGCUGGGUUCAGGGCAUCCCCCUAGUCUGGUUGCAGUGGGCUGCUGUGCUAGGUGGGCAGGGUGUAGAGGAUGCCUACCAGUGCUAGCAGACCAGAGGGAGGACACCAAAAAUGCUCUCUCACCAGCUAGUCAGAAUGAGAUUGCAAAAAUGGCACCCACCAGCACAUCCAGCUCUGGAGACAGUCAGUGUAAGUUCCUGCCUGUCCAGCAGCCACUUUAGGAUUAGUAAGUUGGUCUCCCUCACUUAUGGUCUGGGUACUUUUCAAACUGUUCAGGGUGAGUGGGUCUGCAUGGGAGCCCUUUAAGUGCAGGUUCUCCGUUCCCACAGUUCUGUGGUUCCCUUGGACUUGAUUUUCAAAACCAGAUGUUUUGGGGGCUUGGCUCUCCAGUGUUGGACCCAAGGGUCGAGGGGUGCUGAUGGGGGAUACAGUGCUUUCACUCCUUGAGAGAAAAUUCUGUAUUUUUGGGAUCCCUUCCUCACUGUGGGUCACCGUGCCUGGGGUGGAGUCCGGGGUGAGACCGUGUCUCUGCCUCUCCUGCCCAUCUCUUAAUUUUUGUUGUGGAGGUGCUGUGCAUCUAGUUCUCAGGUUUUUUUCAGAGGAAAACUAUUCUUUAUGUAGCUGUAAAUUUGUUGUAUCUGUGGGAGGAAGUGAGUUCAGGGUCUUCCUAUGUCACCAUCUUGAACCCCUCCCCCAUUUGCAGUCUUUAAGGAUAACAUAUUUUGAUUCUUUCAAGAAGAGUACAUGACGUUUAUUAACUAUAUAAUAAAAUAAGCUGCUUUUCCAGCUGCUGCAUAGCCCUGAAGGUUAACUAUGAAAAUGACUUUUCCAGUAACUGAGUGAGCUGAACUGUUGCUUUUAAAACUCUUUUUAGUGCUUCUUUUCCAGCCUUUGAACUUUUCACUAGGCAUUAGUCAUUUUUAAUAAAAAUACGUUUUGUUUGUAGGUCUUAAUAGCAUUUUGUCCUCAUAAAAAUAUGGAAAACUUCCUGAGAUUCAAUCCAUUGUAGCUCUUAAAAAAAAAGCUUACUGGGCCUGGCUCUCCUUGAGGCCUCUGACUCCUUCUCCAUUCCACCUUACCUCGGAUCUAGUGUGACUGUUCUCUAGACUUCAUCAUUCAUGGCAAGUAAACUUCCACCUCUGAGUCUCUCAGGUUCAUGAGAUUGAUGUUUUUCUUAUUGCCCAUUCCACCAAGCCUACAUUGUAUUCUUAGUUAAACUUUCAAUUACUCAACCCUUUUAAAUCCUGUCUGUUCCAUUUCUGUCAGCUUAGCAUCCCAAACUAACCUUGUGGAGAGUCUUGCCUCCACUUUUUCGAAAACUAUGUUUCUAUCUACAAGCUUUUAUCCAUUAGAUUAUCUGGGCAAUAACUCAAAUUCAGUGUGUCCAAAAUAGAACUCAUCAUUAAUUACCCCAGAUGAGAAUGCGACCUAUGUUUAUUUUAUUUACUACUAUGUUCUCCACCUCCGUCUGGUACAUUCCAUGAAUGUUGUGUAUUUUUGUUGGAUAAAUAAAUAAAUGAAUUAUAUUUACCUCAACUAAUCUGGUUCCACUUCCUAACCUCUCUGUCUCCUUCCCAAUGUUAUCCCUUGUCAGCUGGCAGAGAGGAGAUCAAAAUCUUUUGUGUUUCAGGGUUUUAGGUCCAGUGAAGAGGAUGAAGCUUGGAAUUAUGCUUCCAAAAGGGGAGGAGGUAGAAGCCAUGCUUAAAUUGAGAUAGGUAGAAGGGGUCUAAUCCUGGAAGGAUAUGCAUUAUUUUGGGAAUUUCCUCAAGGUUGGGGAAGGGGACAAUAUUUUGGAAGUACUUUUCAUGUGGCAGAUAUAUGUGUUCAUUCUCAUGCUAAGCCUCAAAGAGGUGACAGGACCUCUGAUGGCCUGGCAGAGAUGUUUGUGUGUUUGAUUGAACAUUAGGACUCUUGGCGUUUAGCUUUUUUCUCUCCAUGCUUUUGGAGCUGCAGCAGUCAAUUACCACAGAUGUGGCACAGAAACAUAUUUUUGAUGAUGGAAUAUAUGCAAUUUUAUAUUAUAGUUUCAUUAGAUAAUAAUUUCCAUGUAGUUCCACAGUUUUAUGGUGGAAAUUAAUGAUACUGAUUGAGGGCAUAUGCUGUAACUUUGUACACUUCCUUUCUUAAUGUACGUUUAGGUUAUUUCCAUUUCUUCCCAGUUUAAAAUAAAAUUGUAAUGAUUGUUAAUAUAUGUUUUUUCUUCUUAUGGAUUAUUUUUCAAUACUUAUAUAACCAUAUUCCCCUAAAGUUUUAUUUUAAGUCUGAAUCGUUCUCUUUCCCUGAGAGUCUUUUGUUUGUGUCACGGUGUCAGUGCCUGGAAAGCUUAAUGUUCCUCCUUGCAAGUCUCUUAUAUUUUGAAAUGCGUUUUUUAUCAGACACUGACUGUGGAUUCAGUAAUUUUUUUUAAUUUAAUUUUUAUUGAGUUAGUGAUAGGUUACAAUCUUGUGAAAUUUCAGUUGUACAUUAUUGUUUGUCAGUCGUGUUGUAAGUGCACCCCUUCACUCUUUGUGCCCACCCCAUCUUUCCCCCGGUAGCCACUAAUCUGUUCUCCUUGUCUGCAUUUUUAAAUUCUUCAUAUGAGUGGAGUCAUACAGAGAUUGUCCUUAUCUAUCUGGCUUAUUUCACUUAACAUAAUCCCUCAAGGUCCAUCCAUGUUGUUGCAAAUGGGACUAUUUUGUUCUUUUUUACGGCUGAGUAGUAUUCCAUUGUAUAUAUAUAUUACAUCUUCUUUAUCCAAUCAUCUGUUGAUGGGCACUUAGGUUGCUUCCACAUGUUGGCUAUUGUAAAUAAUGCUGCGAUGAACACUGGGGUGCGUGGGAGUUUUGGAAUUGGUGACUUCAAGCUGUUUGGAUAGAUACCCAGUAGUGGGAUAGCUGGAUCAUAUGGUAGUUCUAUUUUUAAUUUUUUGAGGAAUCUCCACACUGUUUUCCAUAGUGGCUGCACCAGGUUGUGUUCUCACCAGAAGUGUAUGAGGGUUCCUUUUUCUUCACGACCUCUCCAACAUUUGUUGCUAUUUGUUUUAGUUAUUUUUGUCAUUCUAAUGGGUGUAAGGUGAUAUUUUAGUGUAGUUUUGAUUUGCAUUUCCCUGAUGAUCAGUGAUGAUGAGCAUCUUUUCAUGUGCCUAUUGGCCAUCGUAUAUCUUCUUUGGAGAAAUGUCUGUUCAUGUCUCCUGCCCAUUUUUUUUUUUUUUUUUAUUAAUGUUAUGAUAGAUUACAACCUUGUG